CCUCUCAUUCUCGUUCCUCUCUUGCUCUAUCUCUUUCACGAUAAAACAAAAACCAGAAGAAGAACUUUCUUCUCUCUCGAUCGUUCAUGGAUCUCUCUCUCUUGGUUGAACAACAACAACAAGCUUUCACUUUGUUUCUUUCUCUCUCAGCGAACAACUAAACAGCGACUCUCUCUAUCUCUCGGUUCCUAUGAACAACAGCAACAACAUCGCUCAACUACUCUCGGAUUCGCGGUUUCUCUCGAGCUCAUAGUCUCUCUCACGAAGAACAACGAUGAAGACAACCUCAUCUUGGUUUCUCUCAGCGAUGAGCAAUAACAACAAUCUGAAAACCCCUUUUUACCUCGGUUCACGGCGGCUAUGGAAGAGUUCAUUAAAGAUUUACAAGUACAGCAAUAAUUAACAGCGAGAUUAAGAGUGAAGGCAGGAUCGACUUACCUACAGCGAGGAGGAUUUCGCUGGUUAUUGUUUGAGGUACAACAAUGGUUAAUGGAAAUAUUAAGAGUGAAAGCAGAGAGACUUACCUGUGGUUCAUCUACGGAGGCUCGAAGAUGGGAGACAUCAUCGAAGGCUGCUAGCAAGCAAGGUAUGCAGUUUUCUCUUCUCCCUCUUACCUUUGUAUUUUUCUGUAACUUAGAAAUUACAGACUGCUGGCUCUUUUCUCCCCUGUUUUUCUUCUUUUUUGUAACUUAGGAGUGACAGAAAGUUUCUGUCUGAACUCUCCCCUUUUUCUGCCUGUUCUAUAUUUUCUUGCCUCUCCUCUAUUUAUAGAGGAACAAAUGAAGGACAAUUUUUGGUCAUUUUGGAACCAAAGCUUAGCCCUUAAGCUCACUUAGUUACUAAGUUUUCAUCAUUGCAAAGAAUAUUCUUUCCAAAAUAAUCAUUGCAAAGUUUCUUUCAUGCUAAGUUUGCUUAAUGGCAAAGCUCCACAAAUUUGUGCACAUGGGAUAGAAUAUUAUGCACAUGGGAGGGAAUAUAUUCUUCAUAACUCUUGCAAGUGAAAGUUCCACGACAUAACUUGUCUUCAUGUCAUGAAAUUGGUAGUCUCUAAGUAUAGCACUUAUGACAUAAUAUAUUCCUCUUUGACUUUGUUUGACUUUUUUGACUUUUCCUUUUUCCUUUUUUUUUUCGAAAAAGAUGGCCUCCAUGUGGGCUUUUGGGCUUUUUUGAAUUAUUUAUUUGACUUUUGCUAAUUCCACCCUUUUUGUUUCUUUUUCAUGUGAAUGAGUAUUCUUGAAGAGAAAGCAUGAAGAAACUUGAACUUGAAGAAUGUAAACUUGGAGAUUGAAGAAUUCAAGAAAUCAUUGGAGACUUUUCUUUUCUUUUGUUCUUGUAGUUCCAAUAGAACUUUAACUUUAGAAGUUGCAUGAACUUGGACUUUGUAUCAAUGUAAUUUUGGUUCAUGCAUUCUUGAAAAUUUGUGUAGAAUUUGAAUGUUGUAUCUUGAAUUUUGGAAUGUAAUCUUCAAUCUUGGAUAAAGUCCACUUGUAAUUCAUUUGGAAAUUUGGAAUUGUUCAUGUAAAAGAACAUCAUUUGUAAUGCUUAAACUCCUUUUAGAAUCUUGAAUGACAUUGUAUGGAAUUUGAAUUCCUUUGAAACAUUGAAAACUUGAAUGAUUCCUUUUGAAAGGAAAUGGUGGAAUACCCUUGAAGUAGU
Long non-coding RNA from Vicia villosa (hairy vetch), 1656 nucleotides. RefSeq lists it as uncharacterized. The transcript has 3 exons. NCBI's taxonomy places the organism in Eukaryota, Viridiplantae, Streptophyta, Magnoliopsida, Fabales, Fabaceae. The record is from RefSeq and is a predicted model, not a curated record.